Molecule: long non-coding RNA, 2279 nt
Organism: Papaver somniferum (opium poppy)
Lineage: Eukaryota; Viridiplantae; Streptophyta; Magnoliopsida; Ranunculales; Papaveraceae
Exons: 3
Source: RefSeq, a predicted model, not a curated record
GAAUAUUGUUGGAUAUUCAGGCGAUUAAUUGACGACUAUUGUUGGAUAUUGAGACGAUUUGAGAUUGUUAUCAGAUCUAAUGUUAUUCUCCAGGAAAUCAAAAUCAUUUCUUUCCUCUCCGACGACAGCCACCACCACCAUCUUCAUCACCGCACCUCCGCUCCAGCACCACCUCGAUCUACUUCCGCCAUCACCUACUAGUACUACCUCCACAAAUCCCACCACCAGUUCCAACACCACCUCCUAUACUUCCACUAAAUCCACCACCAGUAACACCACCACCUCCACAUCCUAAACAACAUUAGGUUUUAUAGCAAUUUCAACUGUAUUUGGGUUUGAAAAACCUAAAAUCGAUGAUGUUCUAUAUCAAUUUGGAAGAGAUAAUGAAGAUCAAUAUUAGUAAUUGGAUCCGAAGAUUUAAUCAUCAAAAAUAUUAAAAGAUAAGUUUUAUCUCUUAUUUUCAUUUUAAUUUGAUGAUUCAGAUACUGAUUUUUGUACUUUGAAUAACAAUUCCAUCGGGGUGAACUAAAAUGUAGGAGGUUGUGGUGGUGGCGCUGGUUUUGGUUAUGGAGGAUGAUAAGUCAUACAAUUAAUACUCAUAGAAGAUUUUUUAAUCGUUGUUACUCAUAGAACCAUUAGGUGUAUUACGCAUCUCAUUUCCAUUUUUUUUUAUUUUUUUUUUGUGGCAUCUAUUUGAUUACUUGCGACUGUUGUGGAGUUUCUGGGCAUCAGAACUUGUGGAAAAUUAUAAUAGCCAUGUUAGAGUUGAGACAGAAGCUUGUGGAAAUAAUAGUAGAGAGAGUGCAUGAAGAUCAGUUUGAUUCGGCUUCUUUAAUAUCAAAUGUUCUUAAAGUUUAUGUAUAUGAAAUGCCAGCCAAAUUCACUUAUGAUCUACUAUGGUUGUUUAGGAAUACUUAUAAAGGAUACUCAAAUCUCACUUCUAAUGGCAGACCUGUGCAUCGUUUGAUCGAGUAAGUAAGGAUUUGUUUGAUACUGAGUUGGAUAAUAGUUUUUUUUCUUUCCUUUUUGUUCUUUUUUUGAAACUUUAUGAGAUUUGAUACUGGUAUCACUACUGUUAUGCUACUCAUCUCAUUUCCUUGUUUGUUUGCUCGUGAUUUGAAUUCAGUACUCAUGUUUAUUUGUUCAUAUUAGACGAACUUGUGGUUUUACCUUCAUGUCAGUCUAAGAACAUUGAGUCGGGUGGAGGAGUUACAGCUGAAAGGAGUUUUACAUUUGAUCCUCUACGUCAGUCUAAGAAGGUUGGACUUGAAAAUGGAGUGAAUCCUGACUUGGUUGACGGCCGAUUUUCAUGAUACAUUCUCCCCAAAUGCUGUCAGGGAGAUUUCAUUUUUCUUUGGAGAGGUGUCGUCAACAGGUCAUUCUAAUUCCUUUAUAUCUGUUCAUAUACAACAUGUAGAAUUUAAGGUUCAGUAUUCUUUUUAUCCAUAUAUGAAGUUAGUUACUAAUGGUGAUAAAUAAGAUCUCAUUUAGUAAACACCACCAAUCUACUGAUUACGUCGACCUUUUGUGCCCUGUAAGCAUAUGGUGGCCUUCUUGAACAACAUAGUGGCCUUCUUAACAAAUCUAUUUUGUAUUACUACUCUUAGUUUGUUCAGAAUUGAUCCAUUAAUUUGUCUCUGUACCUGAUUCAAAGUUAUAUAGAUGAAAUGAAGUUUUCUGUGGAUAAAAAUUCUCAACCAUCAUCACCGGUAUCCGUUUUCUUCUUUUGCUGCUGCUGUUAUCUUUACAUCAUCACUAGUAGUCCGUUGUUCAACUUAUCAGAAGCUCAAACUACUGACCCAGUUGAAGGUUGAAUUCUAUUUGUUGGAAUGAAUGCUAAGGACUGAGUGAUGGUGGUGGUUCCGGUGGUGGAGUGGUGGUGGCGGCGGUGGAAUGAUGGUGGCGGCGGCCGUGAAGUGGUAAAGAGAAAUUUAUUUUUAUUUUGAAAUAAAGAAAAAUAUUAUAUGGAUAAGAGUAUUAAGAUAAUCUAUUUUUAAAUGGAUUAGGUUUUCAAAUGAUAGGGGUGUAUUUAUUGUUAUAUAAGGCUAUAUUUAUUGGGUAUCAAAAUUAGGGGUAUAUAAUUAAUGUAUCCCUUAUGACAAUGCCGACAGUUUUAAAAUUCUCAUUUCUAUACAUCAAAAGAGCACUGCCAGCAUAGACGUGAAAUUUAAAACAAUGUCGCAAGCCAAUGUAGGCAUGGUAUUCAACCUAAAAUCAAUGCCGGAAUUAAACAUUCAGUUUCAGGUAAUUUUUGAUGUCUACGCCGGCAUGGUAUUCAA